CGAACGCUGGCGGCGUGCUUAACACAUGCAAGUCGAGCGGUAAGGCUCCUUCGGGAGUACACGAGCGGCGAACGGGUGAGUAACACGUGAGUAAUCUGCCCUUCACUUCGGGAUAACCACCGGAAACGGUGGCUAAUACCGAAUACGACCAGUCUUCGCAUGAGGUGCUGGUGGAAAGUCUUUUCGGUGAAGGAUGUGCUCGCGGCCUAUCAGCUUGUUGGUGGGGUAAUGGCCUACCAAGGCUUCGACGGGUAGCCGGCCUGAGAGGGUGACCGGCCACACUGGGACUGAGACACGGCCCAGACUCCUACGGGAGGCAGCAGUGGGGAAUAUUGGACAAUGGGCGAAAGCCUGAUCCAGCAACGCCGCGUGAGGGAUGACGGCCUUCGGGUUGUAAACCUCUUUCAGUACCGACGAAGCGCCCUGUCGGGUGGUGACGGUAGGUACAGAAGAAGGACCGGCCAACUACGUG
This 472-nucleotide ribosomal RNA is filed under the name uncultured bacterium. RNAcentral describes it as "partial 16S ribosomal RNA". It matches the Rfam family "Bacterial small subunit ribosomal RNA", at positions 30 to 507 of the family's 1533-position model. The record is from RNAcentral.